This is a long non-coding RNA of Cornus florida, 828 nucleotides long. RefSeq lists it as uncharacterized. The transcript is spliced from 3 exons. The record is from RefSeq and is a predicted model, not a curated record. NCBI's taxonomy places the organism in Eukaryota, Viridiplantae, Streptophyta, Magnoliopsida, Cornales, Cornaceae.
AUGGCAUCUUCCUUUUUUCCUGCACUCAACUCUUUCUUUCAUUUCCUUUCUAGACAGCUUCUUCUCCGAGUUUGGUUCCUUUCAAACCUAGCUAGAGGUCUCCAUGGCAGCACCUGGGCAGGAAAUUCCCUUCGGGCCAUAUCCUCACAUUGACAGGAACUUCAAUGACAGAAACUAUGAGCGCGUAAAUCAAAUAAUAUUAUACGUCGGCGGAUCGGAAGAUAAUGAAUAUAUUGAGUAUAAACAGACGACCGGCAGCAUAACCAUUACGCAGGGAGCUCAAAAACACAUAACCAUGCCCGUAGCUAGUGGAUACUAUGAAAGCGUUGACGCGUCAGGACACAAUCUUGGAUUCGUAAAAAAUCCCGGGGAAACAUGUUCGUCUCCUUUUUGUCCAUCCCCAGCAGAUAAUAGCAAGUUGGUUGGAUUCUUUGAUAUAGAAUCGAUUGGAGCAUAUUUUCAGAAAUAGACCAAUAAUUAAAAUUUGGACAUGAUCAUCCACUUUACCGUAGUAGUAUUAUUAUUAUAAAUAAAGUAAUUUGGAUAAUGAUCAUGAUAUAUCCACAUUUUAAUGAUAUGGUAUUAUAUAUAAUCAAUAAUUAACUCCAUUUCCAUGGGAUCUAUGCACUUAUAUAUAUACAUGGAUGCUUUGUGUUGUCCUUUAAACUUGCCCAAAGUGGUUAAGACAACACAAAUUUGUUUCCAUGUGUGUGAUUUCAAGUAAUGUUUUUCAAGUUAGUGGGUGUGACAAGUUUGAAAGUGUGCUUCCAUUAUACAUGUGUGUAUUUUCUAAAAUAAUGUGUGUUGUAAUAAGAUUUGUGUGUCUUA